CUACACCCGAUCCCACCUUUCGGCGGCUCCUUCCUUACGGUUAGGCCACCGGCUUCGGGUGUUACCGACUUUCGUGGUGUGACGGGCGGUGUGUACAAGGCCCGGGAACGUAUUCACCCCGGCGUGCUGAUCCGGGAUUACUAGCAACUCCAGCUUCAUGGAGGCGAGUUGCAGCCUCCAAUCCGAACUGAGACCGGCUUUAUGGGAUUCGCUAAACCUCGCGGUUUCGCAGCCCUUUGUACCGGCCAUUGUAGCGUGUUUGCAGCCCUAGACAUAAGGGGCAUGAUGACUUGACGUCAUCCCCACCUUCCUCCGAGUUGACCCCGGCAGUCUCCUACGAGUCCCCACCAUUACGUGCUGGCAACAUAGAAUAAGGGUUGCGCUCGUUGCGGGACUUAACCCAACAUCUCACGACACGAGCUGACGACAGCCAUGCACCACCUUCAUUGAGCCCCGAAGGACACCACAUCUCUGUGGCUUUUCCCAAUGAUUUAACCUAGGUAAGGUUCUUCGCGUAGCAUCGAAUUAAGCAACACGCUCCGCUGCUUGUGCGGGCCCCCGUCAAUUCCUUUGAGUUUUAGUCUUGCGACCGUACUCCCCAGGCGGGGCACUUAAUGCGUUAGCGACGGCGCGGAUCUCGUUGGUUAGAGACCCACACCUAGUGCCCAUCGUUUACGGCGUGGACUACCAGGGUAUCUAAUCCUGUUUGCUACCCACGCUUUCGCUCCUCAGCGUCAGUUUCGGCCCAGAGUGGUGCCUUCGCCAUCGGUGUUCCUCCUAAUAUCUGCGCAUUUUCACCCGGCUAACA
RNAcentral lists this ribosomal RNA (808 nucleotides) under uncultured Actinomycetes bacterium. RNAcentral's name for it is "uncultured actinobacterium partial 16S ribosomal RNA". The record is from RNAcentral. Lineage: Bacteria; Bacillati; Actinomycetota; Actinomycetes.